UUACAAGAGAUACAAAAGCAAAAAUACCCCUGCAGACUGCACGAAAAAUACCCCCUUGUACCGGUACACGGGCUCUUGUACCGGUACAAGCUGUCACGCCCCGGGGUCCCUUUUUGUUUGAACACAGCGGAAAAAGCGUCUAACUUUUUUUUUUGAAAAUUUGACCCCAGAGUAUGCCAAAUCCGCCACAAAUAUAGGGAUUCCACUGUUCACACGGAUAGAGUCUCCCAUGUAUUUGCACGGCGUCGCACAAGUACAACAGUACAAACAGGAUACAACCACAACUAAAUGAAUAUAGAAAUAAUUAUUCAUUCAUACAUUCAUACAUUCACCAUUCAUAUCACAGAUUUGCAUUUAAUAUUUAAACAUAAAUCCACAGAAAAUUCUUUUGAAAACUGUUUCCUACAUAGAAACCUUCAUUCUUUAAAAACGCUACCACGAGGGGUAGAA
This 450-nucleotide long non-coding RNA is filed under the name Ananas comosus (pineapple). Its description in RNAcentral is "long non-coding RNA (ACOM_LNC036625)". The record is from RNAcentral. Lineage: Eukaryota; Viridiplantae; Streptophyta; Magnoliopsida; Poales; Bromeliaceae.